GGCUAGCCUGCGGCUGACGGUUCCCCCCAAGCGCAAGCCGAAGGGAUUAAAAGGGAACACGGUGCAGGCGAAGGAUUUGUCCGAAACCGUGGCUGCCCCCGCAACUGUGAGCGGCGAGCCUUCCUCCGAUGAAAACCACUGGGGCGCGUGCCUUGGGAAGGGGGAUGAAGGCGAUGACCCGUGAGCCAGGAGACCUGCCGUCCGACCCUAAUCCAU
RNAcentral lists this non-coding RNA (216 nucleotides) under Rhodospirillum rubrum. Lineage: Bacteria; Pseudomonadati; Pseudomonadota; Alphaproteobacteria; Rhodospirillales; Rhodospirillaceae. RNAcentral also lists the same sequence under 1 other name. The record is from RNAcentral.